Armigeres subalbatus is the source of this 5266-nucleotide long non-coding RNA. RefSeq lists it as uncharacterized. The record is from RefSeq and is a predicted model, not a curated record. The transcript has 2 exons. Lineage: Eukaryota; Metazoa; Arthropoda; Insecta; Diptera; Culicidae.
AAAUAUCAAGUGGUCACCCUACAAUUAAAAUUAUUACCACUCGUUUUUGCGAGACCUGCAAUUUGCAGCAACAAUAAUUACCUAUGCUGAAACUUAUAAAUCUAAUGAAGAUCUGCACUAAAGAAGAACUAACCGUGUGUAUAGUAGUGGUGGCAUACGUAUUUACGAUUGUAUGCUAUAAGCCUCCACAACCACCAGCGAGAAAGCACGUGUUUGACGAUUCGCUAUCACAUUCUCUUCGGCCUACCCGCACCCGGCAAUCGCUCGAGCAACAUGCUCAACCGUAGCUACUUGGCUGGGUGCUCACCAGUUUAGCUACGCACCAGUAGGCCGUUUAACUGACGGUUCUACAAUUCAAAAACCAAGUGAUGUGCUCGGGUUAUGAAAUCUUUUGAUUUCACUCCGCUCUCCGCUUGUCACCUUGCCAAAGGAAGGCAGGCGGUUGAAUAUCUGAUGGUUUUUUGGUGUGUCUUCAAAUCAUAAUAAACAAAAACAAACAAAUUUAGAGGCUAGCGGUUACAACGUGGUGUAAACUAGUGUCCAGACCGGGGCUUCCUCACCUAAGGUUCAAUCUCUGGUUGGCAAUAGGAAACUUUCGCGACUUUCAUGUAAACAAAGAAUCAUCCUACAAGCCAAACGAUACUUGAAACAAUUGGGUUAAAUUGAAAAAAUAAAUCUAAUAUUGCGGAGGUUUAGAGGAAAAACAAUCAAAAUAGCAGGCAAAAUAGUAAACUGAAAUGUUUUACAUUCUAGCGAAACAACUGACAAAUUAUAAGAAACGAACCGCCUUUAUGGCGGCUGAGAAGCGGACGCAUGGUUGGUUGUUUCUUUUAAAAAAAACAACUACCAACGGAUGUUUUGUCUCCAUGAGUUUCCCAGAUCAUUGGAGUGGAAUAAUCGUUUGCUGCUUUACCACUCCACAAAGCUGUUUUAAUUUUGAAGAGCUCUCGUUAGGAGUUGUUGCAGUUUAUUCUUUUCAACAGCCAUCCAGCGUUAAAUGAAGAUGAGUAUACUUGCCGCUUUGCGUCGAUUGAUCAACAAAAAUAUAUACAAUGUGUAAAUACAAUGUAUCUCUUCUGGAGGAACAACCUUGUGCAAAUCCCAUUAUUCCAUAAUAAUUUUCCAACUAUGCAGUUCACCAGACCCGUCAGUCCUUCCGCCAUCAAGGAGGGAAAAAAAUAUAGCAAACAGCAUGCUUCAAUCGCACUCCAACUAACAACGGCACAACUGCCGAUACGAGGCACUAGGAUAGAUGCGAAUCCCAUCACCCUAGAACAUGGGAUCUCAAUUUCCAGCUUUUAUUAUUCGAUGCGUCGUCGCAAACCUUGAUGAUGACUUUCCAUCUUUCGCCGGGCGCAUUGUGUGGGAAGAAUAAAGCUGCUCAAUGUUAUUUCCACUUUCCAUUAUGCGGCUCAAAUCCGAGAUGCUUUCGAGAAUAGUGCAGUCAAGUGGCGCGAGGACUUUGUGCGCUCUUGCACAGAUGCAUUUGUAUGGCUGCGGAAUUCUUCUGCUAAGUGGCAUCGCAGAACAAGACCGUUUAUGUUGUUAUGACCGACCGGUUUCUUGGCUCAUAAACGUUACUAAAAUGAGGUUAUUUUCCACCCCAUAAUCUCAUUUGGAAAAUAAUGAAGCGGAGUGGAAGACGAGUUGGUACAGUUUCUUAUUCGUAAUUACUUAACAUGUUUUUGAGUGUUACGCGUAUCCGAGUUUCCAAUUAUCUGCAGUUCCUAGUAGAUACUCGACUCCAUAAGAGACCUUCUAAUCCGACGUUAUUAAACUUUUCUUACCUUUCUCAUAAUAUUCAGAAUAAAUUAUAUGCUUUGGUUUGAAUUGGAUAAUAAGGCAGAAUACAGAUAAAAUCGAACAGGUUAAGAAUAGUAUGUUAUCCAAAUCGAAUGGAACUGUAAUCACAAUGUAAAUUAUAGCACUGCAAUUAUGACUGUGCAUUCACCUCAUCACGACCAGCAAAAAUAUCACUUUCAAACCGACUUGUCCUUUCAAUCUAAUAACACCCACAAAAUUUAUGAUAAAAAUUAUUUUGGGUAUAAUCUGAGUUCAUGUCUGUAAUGAAUAAAGGCAACAAUUUUCUUUUGGAAGCAAUAAUUGACCGAAAUCCAUCAGUCAGUGUUUGAUAAACACUAAAAUCAAACAAUCGAACAUGAACGAACUACAUUGAAAAUAAUUGGUCGGCGUACAGCUACAUUUUCCGCACCACCAUCCUAAUAACGAUAAUAAUGAUAAUGUUAAAGUAUCACGAAUGAAAACAAACUGAACAUAGGGUAACAAGUCAAUUCAAUCACCAAAGAUAAAAUACAAAAUAAAUAUAAUCGGAUGUCAUAUCAAUACGAUGGCUAACGCCUGAUGUGAAUUGUCACCCCUCUGCGACAAUCACUUUACCAAAUAAAUACGAUAUCAGUUGUCUACUUUACUGUCAUGAUGAUUCCUAACUCUAUCCAGUUUUGUUAUGGAGCUCUUCAACCCAUUGGACCAAGAUGAAACAUAUGACAACACUGUGGAACAACAGAAAUGGACACCAUAUAAUCGCUCAUGUGAAAUCAUCACGGAUCGUUGUUGGUUCAGAGUGGUGAUUGGUGCUAAAACCAUUCGAGCGGAUGGAAAAAUAAGCAAAAAAAAAUGCUUUCAAUUGGCAUCAUACUACCUAGCAAUUUGCAGGAAUUGCGUGUGAGCGGAAAAAUCACUUGCUCGAAGCGAUACAAUACACCAUACUGGAUAAUUUCGAAUGUACAUAUCAAUUGAUGUUUACUUAUUGACAGAAAUGGAAUUAACAAGAGGGGGGAAAUCCACCAAAGCCAUUUCAGUCGUGCAAAGAAUAGAGAGAACCCAAUUAACAGCGUAGUUAAUUCUAAUUUUCAUGAUAAGUACGAAGGUGGCGUAAAUCAAAGUGAAGGGAAAAGGAUCAAUCAACAAAGAGAUGUUAAAAUUGUGGAGCUGAACUUAGAGUUAGAGAAUUAAUUAUCAAAGCAAAAAUCACACAACCGUAUCAAAGAGUUUCAAUCACCGAAGGUCGAAUCAAUACUGUGAAGACGUGCACUUUAUGGAAUAUGAACUAUGAUAAUUUCUAAAAAUUUGCAAAUUUAUAGUCUGAGAGCUUAGCACAGCUUCUAGCCAUCGACGAAUGAGCGGCUAAAAUUGCACACAUUUGACAAUCACCACUUUGGGCUCUCGAAACUUUUCGUCAAAUACCAGAAAACCCCAUAAAAUCGUUCGGCUGUACCAUACACCUUUGAUAAGUAGUAUUUUUCGGCGUUUGCUCAAAAAAACAUAAAAACGAGUAUUAUUAGUUGUGGGAUAGAACCCUCCAGAGCGUGUCAACCCUAUAGUAAAAUUAACUGAUAGAUCAAACCAUGGCGUUUUCCAUUGAAGACUAGCGUGUAACAUUGCCCAAAGAUUAAAAAUGAUAGCUAGUAGAUAUUUUAUAAAUGACUGGUUUUAUACUUUUUUAAAUAACCCUCUUGUAAAAACGUAAAUAAUGAGGCAGGUCGUUCAUUUAUAUAAAAAGUGAAGAUAUAAAUGUUGAACAUCAUUGAAAGAGGAUCAUACAAAGGAUUUAGAACAAUAGGUACAUCAUCAUUAGAACCAUCGAUUCAUAAAAGCAAAUUCAAUGUCCCAUAAAAAAAGAAUCAAACAAAUCAAACACUUUUCCCAAAGUAAGCAUAUUAUAGGGACAACGUUGCACAUCACAAUCAAAUGACACUAUUCGUCGUUAUUUACGUGUAAGGUUCAACUUUCAAAUCAAAACUCAAUGAUAAUUGUAACAAAAUAACCCCCGAGCGACCCUCUCACUGCAUACAGCGUGACCCCACCCCAUGCUCUAUGAUGACUGCACAAUUUUGUACUGUUUGGUCCCAUAUCGUAUGUUAACAUUAGAUAGGAAUCGAAACCAGCUGACAAUCCAACAACAGUUUACAUACCUACGUAUAUCACAAGAGAAAAGAAAAACAUUACCGUAAUAUCCGACUGUUUCCCCGUGAACGUAUGUGACUGUGAGUGCAUGUAAUGUAUGUCCCCACUCUGUAUUUACUUAACUUUUUUUUCACCCGGUUCCCUAAUUGACCAUCAUCUGGAAAUCGACUGCAAAUCUUAAUCGAGUCCGAUAGGCAAAUAAAGAUGAUAAACAGUGCACACGAUAUCGUGCGUAUCAUUCUAUACUAUUAUUGUGCACCUAGCCUCUGUAACUACGGCAUAGCAAAUCAUAUAUUAGACAGAUGAGAGUAUUUAUUUGAAAACUGUGAUAACGACUUCGGUUCAUUGCUUCGCGCCACGCUUUGCCAAUGUCAGAUAAUUAUAUAUUCGCUACAUGUUGUAUUAUGUUUGAAUGGAUUGUAUUAGAUAAUAGCAAGAGAGAGAACAGUACCUUAAUAUCUAUCACUAAGCCACAAAAUGAUUCACCAUUGCACAGUGUGUUGUUGCUGGUAGAAAUUUUUUUCAGCAAGUUGCAAAUGUUAGCAUGUUUUGUGCGUAAUUAUGCACAUGAUGUGCGAAUCAUCAUAUGGCUGUGUUUAUCAAAAUCAAGUCCCAUCUCAAGGAGCCACUGAAUCCUGAAGUCACGAGCCAGCCUAAUUGCUUGGUUCUAACUUGAACGAAAUGGAUUGAUAUUCAUACAUUCCUGAAGAUUAUCCAAGUUUGUUUCGAAAAAAUCAUCAUCUUAUUCGGUAUCAAAAUUCUUUAAAUAAGGAAUAUAGAAGCAAUCAAAAUGUCUGGAAAAUAUCGAUUUUUAAAAAAUGUUUCCACUGAACUUCGCCGUAAAUAUUAACUGUAAAAUCCAAAUAAAAUUGAUCUAUAAUUUUUCACGCCGAUUUAAAUUUGAGAAGUCCGCCGGAUUUUUCGUCGAAAUUUCGAAGAUUCAUUGGAAUUUGCAUAGAAUUUCCCGACGCUUCCCCACAACGUUACGUUGAAACUCUUGAGAAUUUUUCGUAAAAUUACCAAUGAUUUUCUUGAAUAUUCCAUACAAUUUCCAGUUGAAAUUUCGAAAAGUUCCCAACAAAAAUUGAGAAAAGCUUCGAGUGAAAAUUUCGAAGGAUUUCCCGUUGAAAUCCUAAGAAUUUGUCAUUGACAUAGAAUUUUUGAACGGAAAAGGACAAGAGGAAACCAAUUUAAAUUUUGCGAUAGUUUUACUUAAUGUCUUAGUGGUUUUCUCAAACCAACCUAGCGGUUGUUAGCUCGGUUGUUAUGGAGUGUGUAAUGGGACAUUUUGGACCAAAUACAUUUUUCAUACAUUCUGAAUUCUUGUCCAAAAUUUAUACAA